CCUACGGGAGGCAGCAGUGAGGAAUAUUGGUCAAUGGACGAGAGUCUGAACCAGCCAAGUAGCGUGAAGGAUGACUGCCCUAUGGGUUGUAAACUUCUUUUAUAAAGGAAUAAAACGAGGCACGUGUGCCUUUUUGCAUGUACUUUAUGAAUAAGGAUCGGCUAACUCCGUGCCAGCAGCCGCGGUAAUACGGAGGAUCCUAGCGUUAUCCGGAUUUAUUGGGUUCAAAGGGAGCGUAGAUGGGUUGUUAAGUCAGUUGUGAAAGUUUGCGGCUCAACCGUAAAAUUGCAAUUGAUACUGGCAGUCGUGAGUACAGUUGAGGUAGGCGGAAUUCGUGGUGUAGCGGUGAAAUGCUUAGAUAUCACGAAGAACCCCGAUUGCGAAGGCAGCUUACUAAACUGUGACUGACAUUGAUGCUCGAAAGUGUGGGUAUCAAACAGGAGUAGAUACCCUAGUAGUC
RNAcentral lists this ribosomal RNA (460 nucleotides) under uncultured bacterium. Its description in RNAcentral is "partial 16S ribosomal RNA". It matches the Rfam family "Bacterial small subunit ribosomal RNA", at positions 338 to 795 of the family's 1533-position model. The record is from RNAcentral.